AUGCAACGCGAAGAACCUUACCUGGUCUUGAUAUCCACGGAAGUUUUCAGAGAUGAGAAUGUGCCUUCGGGAACCGUGAGACAGGUGCUGCAUGGCUGUCGUCAGCUCGUGUUGUGAAAUGUUGGGUUAAGUCCCGCAACGAGCGCAACCCUUAUCCUUUGUUGCCAGCGGUCCGGCCGGGAACUCAAAGGAGACUGCCAGUGAUAAACUGGAGGAAGGUGGGGAUGACGUCAAGUCAUCAUGGCCCUUACGACCAGGGCUACACACGUGCUACAAUGGCGCAUACAAAGAGAAGCGACCUCGCGAGAGCAAGCGGACCUCAUAAAGUGCGUCGUAGUCCGGAUUGGAGUCUGCAACUCGACUCCAUGAAGUCGGAAUCGCUAGUAAUCGUGGAUCAGAAUGCCACGGUGAAUACGUUCCCGGGCCUUGUACACACCGCCCGUCACACCAUGGGAGUGGGUUGCAAAAGAAGUAGGUAGCUUAACCUUCGGGAGGGCGCUUACCACUUUGUGAUUCAUGACUGGGGUGAAGUCGUAACAAGGUAACCGUAGGGGAACCUGCGGUUGGAUCAC
This 572-nucleotide ribosomal RNA is filed under the name Shigella flexneri. RNAcentral describes it as "bacterial SSU rRNA". It matches the Rfam family "Bacterial small subunit ribosomal RNA", at positions 954 to 1526 of the family's 1533-position model. Lineage: Bacteria; Pseudomonadati; Pseudomonadota; Gammaproteobacteria; Enterobacterales; Enterobacteriaceae. The record is from RNAcentral.